Molecule: ribosomal RNA, 829 nt
Filed under: uncultured Acidobacteriota bacterium
Lineage: Bacteria; Pseudomonadati; Acidobacteriota
Description: bacterial SSU rRNA
Rfam family: Bacterial small subunit ribosomal RNA
Source: RNAcentral
AGAGAUCAUGGCUCAGAAUCAACGCUGGCGGCGUGCCUCAGACAUGCAAGUCGAACGCGAAAGGUUCCUUCGGGAACCGAGUAGAGUGGCGCACGGGUGAGUAACACGUAGGUAAUUUGCCUUUGGGUGGGGAAUAACUCAGGGAAACUUGAGCUAAUACCGCAUAAUGCAGCGGCUCGACAUCGAGACAGUUGUUAAAGCGGGGGAUCGCAAGACCUCGCGCCUGAAGAGAAGCCUGCGGCAGAUUAGCUAGUUGGUAGGGUAAUGGCCUACCAAGGCGACGAUCUGUAACCGGCCUGAGAGGGCGGUCGGUCACACUGACACUGACAUACGGGUCAGACUCCUACGGGAGGCAGCAGUCGGGAAUUUUGGGCAAUGGGCGAAAGCCUGACCCAGCAACGCCGCGUGAAGGAUGAAAUUUUUCGGAAUGUAAACUUCGCAAGAACGGGAAGAAUAAGUAGAAGAUAAUACCUUCUAUGAUGACGGUACCGUUUGUAAGCUCCGGCUAACUCCGUGCCAGCAGCCGCGGUAAUACGGGGGGAGCAAGCGUUGUUCGGAUUUACUGGGCGUAAAGGGCGCGUAGGCGGUCGUGACAAGUCACUUGUGAAAUCUCCGGGCUUAACUCGGAACGGUCAAGUGAUACUGUCGGACUAGAGUACAGAAGGGGCAACUGGAAUUCUCGGUGUAGCGGUGAAAUGCGUAGAUAUCGAGAGGAACACCUGCGGCGAAGGCGGGUUUGCUGGGCUGAUACUGACGCUGAGGCGCGAAAGCCAGGGGAGCGAACGGGAUUAGAUACCCCCGGUGGUCCUGGCCCUAAACGAUGAAUGCU